RNAcentral lists this ribosomal RNA (501 nucleotides) under uncultured bacterium. RNAcentral describes it as "partial 16S ribosomal RNA". It matches the Rfam family "Bacterial small subunit ribosomal RNA", at positions 30 to 523 of the family's 1533-position model. The record is from RNAcentral.
AUUGAACGCUGGCGGCAGGCUUAACACAUGCAAGUCGAGCGGGGGAAGGUAGCUUGCUACCGGACCUAGCGGCGGACGGGUGAGUAAUGCUUAGGAAUCUGCCUAUUAGUGGGGGACAACAUCUCGAAAGGGAUGCUAAUACCGCAUACGUCCUACGGGAGAAAGCAGGGGAUCUUCGGACCUUGCGCUAAUAGAUGAGCCUAAGUCGGAUUAGCUAGUUGGUGGGGUAAAGGCCUACCAAGGCGACGACCUGUAGCGGGUCUGAGAGGAUGAUGCGCCAAACUGGGACGGAGACACGGCCCAGGCUCCUACGGGAGGCAGCAGUGGGGAAUAUCGGACAAUGGGGGGAACCCUGAUCCAGCCAUGCCGCGUGUGUGAAGAAGGCCUUAUGGUUGUAAAGCACUUUAAGCGAGGAGGAGGCUACUCUAGUUAAUACCUAGGGAUAGUGGACGUUACUCGCAGAAUAAGCACCGGCUAACUCUGUGCCAGCAGCCGCGGUAA